UACGUAGGGGGCGAGCGUUGUCCGGAGUUACUGGGCGUAAAGGGCAUGCAGGCGGUCCGACACGUUUUGUGUGACAGCGGGUGGCUUAACUACCCGAGGAUACGAAAGACGGUUGGACUUGAGGACUCGAGAGGGACACGGAAUUCCGGGUGGAGUGGUGAAAUGCGUAGAGAUCCGGAGGAACACCGGAGGCGAAGGCAGUGUCCUGGCGAGUGACUGACGCUGAGGUGCGAAAGCCAGGGGAGCGAACGGG
Molecule: ribosomal RNA, 253 nt
Filed under: uncultured bacterium
Lineage: Bacteria
Description: partial 16S ribosomal RNA
Rfam family: Bacterial small subunit ribosomal RNA
Source: RNAcentral